UACGAAGGGGACUAGCGUUGUUCGGAAUCACUGGGCGUAAAGCGCACGUAGGCGGGUCUUUAAGUCAGGGGUGAAAUCCUGGAGCUCAACUCCAGAACUGCCUUUGAUACUGAAGAUCUUGAGUUCGGGAGAGGUGAGUGGAACUGCGAGUGUAGAGGUGAAAUUCGUAGAUAUUCGCAAGAACACCAGUGGCGAAGGCGGCUCACUGGCCCGGUACUGACGCUGAGGUGCGAAAGCGUGGGGAGCAAACAGG
Molecule: ribosomal RNA, 253 nt
Filed under: uncultured bacterium
Lineage: Bacteria
Description: partial 16S ribosomal RNA
Rfam family: Bacterial small subunit ribosomal RNA
Source: RNAcentral